RNAcentral lists this ribosomal RNA (443 nucleotides) under uncultured bacterium. RNAcentral's name for it is "partial 16S ribosomal RNA". It matches the Rfam family "Bacterial small subunit ribosomal RNA", at positions 338 to 795 of the family's 1533-position model. The record is from RNAcentral.
CCUACGGGUGACAGCAGUGGGGAAUAUUGGGCAAUGGGCGCAAGCCUGACCCCGCAACGCCGCGUGAAUGAAGAAGGCUUUCGGGUUGUAAACUUCUUUUCGCAGGGACGAAGCAAGUCACGGUACCAGAAGAAUAAGCCACGGCUAAAUACGUGCCAGCAGCCGCGGAAAUACGUAGGUGGCAAGCGUUAUCCGGAUUUACUGGGUGUAAAGGGCGCGUAGGCGGGAAAGCAAGUCAGAUGUGAAAGCCAUGGGCUCAACCUGUGGACUGCAUUUGAAACUGUGUUUCUUGAGUACUGGAGAGGCAGACGGAAUUCCUAGUGUAGCGGUGAAAUGCGUAGAUAUUAGGAGGAACACCAGUGGCGAAGGCGGUCUGCUGGACAGCAACUGACGCGGAGGCGCGAAAGCGUGGGGAGCAAACAGGAUUAGAUACCCGAGUAGUC